AUGGCUCGUUUGUAUCCAGAUGAUUUAGGGAGUGAAAGCAAGAUUGAAGAACUUAGUGUCCAACUUGAUAACUUCCUUGAAAAUGUUCGUGAUGAUUCAAGACUCUCCAAUUUGAAAGGGGUUAGUGAUCUUUGCAGAAAACUAGUUGAGACAAAGAAGUACAAUACCUUUCCUCUAGUAUUUCUUUUGGUAAAGCUAGCAUUGAUCUUGCCGGUGGCGACGGCAACAGUUGAGAGAGCAUUUUCCGCAAUGAAAUAUAUCAAGUCUGAUUUGCGCAAUAGAAUAGGCGAUGAUUUCUUGUACCAUUGUCUCAUAACUUAUGUUGAAACCGAUGUAUUCCAGUCUAUUAGUACUGAUGCUAUUAUGCAUACAUAUCAAUGUAUGCAUCAUCGCAAAGUACUACUGCCAUGGAUAUGCUGGUUUGUAAUAAAGUACGAUGUUUUCAUUCCUGUUUAUGAUCUAAUUUUUUUUAUUAGUGAAGCUUGA
Molecule: ribosomal RNA, 486 nt
Filed under: Triticum aestivum (bread wheat)
Lineage: Eukaryota; Viridiplantae; Streptophyta; Magnoliopsida; Poales; Poaceae
Description: partial small subunit ribosomal RNA
Source: RNAcentral